ACGGCGCACGGGUGCGUAACACGUGGGUAAUCUGCCCUUCGAUGGGGAAUAACCUCGCGAAAGCGAGGCUAAUUCCGCAUAACAUUCCGGGGAUUUCGGUUCCUGGAUUCAAAGGAGCAAUUCGUCGAAGGAGGAGCCCGCGCACGAUUAGCUAGUUGGUAGGGUAAUGGCCUACCAAGGCUUUGAUCGUUAGCUGGUCUGAGAGGAUGGCCAGCCACACUGGAACUGAGACGCGGUCCAGACUCCUACGGGAGGCAGCAGUGGGGAAUCUUGCACAAUGGGCGAAAGCCUGAUGCAGCGACGCCGCGUGGGGGAUGAAGCAUUUCGGUGUGUAAACCCCUUUCGACCCGGACGAAUGCCUCGCAAGAGGACUGACGGUACGGGUAUAAGAAGCCCCGGCUAACUACGUGCCAGCAGCCGCGGUAAGACGUAGGGGGCCAGCGUUGUUCGGAAUUACUGGGUGUAAAGGGUUCGUAGGCGGUGCGGCAAGUUGGGAGUGAAAUCUCUGGGCUCAACCCAGAGGCUGCUUCCAA
This 533-nucleotide ribosomal RNA is filed under the name uncultured bacterium. RNAcentral describes it as "bacterial SSU rRNA". It matches the Rfam family "Bacterial small subunit ribosomal RNA", at positions 95 to 630 of the family's 1533-position model. The record is from RNAcentral.